Molecule: ribosomal RNA, 456 nt
Filed under: uncultured bacterium
Lineage: Bacteria
Description: SSU rRNA
Rfam family: Bacterial small subunit ribosomal RNA
Source: RNAcentral
AGAACGAACGCUGGCGGCAUGCCUAACACAUGCAAGUCGAACGUGAUCCAUGACUUCGGUUGUGGUGAAAGUGGCAAACGGGUGAGUAACGCGUGGGAAUCUGCCCAGAGGUAGGGAAUAACCGCGGGAAACUGCGGCUAAUACCCUAUGUGCCCUACGGGGCAAAGAUUUAUCGCCUUUGGAGGAGCCCGCGUCGGAUUAGGUAGUUGGUAGGGUAACGGCCUACCAAGCCUACGAUCCGUAGCUGGUCUGAGAGGAUGAUCAGCCACACUGGGACUGAGAUACGGCCCAGACUCCUACGGGAGGCAGCAGUGGGGAAUAUUGGACAAUGGGGGCAACCCUGAUCCAGCAAUGCCGCGUGAGUGAUGAAGGCCUUCGGGUUGUAAAGCUCUUUCGGCGGGGAAGAUGAUGACGGUACCGCAGAAGAAGCCCGGCUAACUUCGUGCCAGCAGCCGC